GACGAACGCUGGCGGCGUGCUUAACACAUGCAAGUCGAACGAUGAAGCCUUAGCUUGCUUUGGUGGAUUAGUGGCGAACGGGUGAGUAACACGUGAGCAACGUGCCCAGGACUCUGGAAUAACCGCGGGAAACCGUGGCUAAUACCGGAUAGGUGCCGAGGCCGCAUGGUCUUCGGUUGGAAAGUUUUUGCGGUUCUGGAUCGGCUCACGGCCUAUCAGCUUGUUGGUGGGGUAAUGGCCUACCAAGGCGACGACGGGUAGCCGGCCUGAGAGGGUGACCGGCCACACUGGGACUGAGGCACGGCCCAGACUCCUACGGGAGGCAGCAGUGGGGAAUAUUGCACAAUGGGCGCAAGCCUGAUGCAGCAACGCCGCGUGGGGGAUGACGGCCUUCGGGUUGUAAACCUCUUUUAGUAGGGAAGAAGCGCAAGUGACGGUACCUGCAGAAAAAGCACCGGCUAACUACGUG
RNAcentral lists this ribosomal RNA (469 nucleotides) under uncultured bacterium. Its description in RNAcentral is "partial 16S ribosomal RNA". It matches the Rfam family "Bacterial small subunit ribosomal RNA", at positions 28 to 507 of the family's 1533-position model. The record is from RNAcentral.